RNAcentral lists this ribosomal RNA (459 nucleotides) under uncultured bacterium. RNAcentral's name for it is "partial 16S ribosomal RNA". It matches the Rfam family "Bacterial small subunit ribosomal RNA", at positions 338 to 795 of the family's 1533-position model. The record is from RNAcentral.
CCUACGGGGGGCAGCAGUGAGGAAUAUUGGUCAAUGGUCGGGAGCCUGAACCAGCCAAGCCGCGUGAGGGAAGAAGGUACAGUGUAUCGUAAACCUCUUUUGUCAGGGAACAAAGGCGGCGACGCGUCCCCGGAUGAGUGUACCUGAAGAAAAAGCAUCGGCUAACUCCGUGCCAGCAGCCGCGGUAAUACGGAGGAUGCGAGCGUUAUCCGGAUUUAUUGGGUUUAAAGGGUGCGCAGGCGGUAUGUAAAGUCAGCGGUCAAAGCCCGGGGCCAAACCCCUUCCCGCCGUUGAAACUGGCAGUCUCGAGUGGGAGAGAAGUAUGCGGAAUGCGCGGUGUAGCGGUGAAAUGCAUAGAUAUCGCGCAGAACUCCGAUUGCGAAGGCAGCAUGCCGGCUCCACACUGACGCUGAUGCACGAAAGCGUGGGUAUCGAACAGGAUUAGAUACCCUUGUAGUC